Molecule: long non-coding RNA, 612 nt
Organism: Hevea brasiliensis (rubber tree)
Lineage: Eukaryota; Viridiplantae; Streptophyta; Magnoliopsida; Malpighiales; Euphorbiaceae
Exons: 2
Source: RefSeq, a predicted model, not a curated record
UGGUAUGGUGGUAGCUCAUUGGUUGAACCUUUUAUGGUAUGUGGCUGUUGGGUGCAGAGAACGAAAAGCUCAUUCCACUAGGAGGUUGAAACUGGUGGAGCACAAAACCAUUGCACCAGGGGAGACAAGCUAAAACAACCCUCUGCAAAAACCGCUUGAUACGCAUAACACGAAUUCUUAUCGUACGCUUGCUGAUUUUUAACGUACGCCCACAACUGAGCAAAGUUUGCCACCUGAAAAAUCUGGAGGACCCCUAACUGGAACUGAAGCUACUCUUGCCUUGCCGUACUCAGCUGACUCAAUUGAGAGAGAGAGAGAGAGAGAGAGAGAGAGAGAGAUGGUGGGAUAGGCUCUUUCUUCUUUUGACCAAAAGCUUGCACUAUAGUACUCACGUAUUCACGUAGGAAAAGAAGCAUAUAUAUCCAAGAACGCAAGUUGGUGCUGGCUAAUGGAAAUUUAUGGCAGGAAUCAGCUAGAGGAAAUUUUCUUUUUUGUUUUUAAUGGUAAGCAUGUCAAAGCUUAUCUCGUGGUGCUUUAUUUUCCUUCAUAGUUAGAGAUAGUACAUAUGUGAUGUCUGAAUAACUAUACCUUACAAGUGGAAGGUGGGGUUCA